Molecule: ribosomal RNA, 253 nt
Filed under: uncultured bacterium
Lineage: Bacteria
Description: partial 16S ribosomal RNA
Rfam family: Bacterial small subunit ribosomal RNA
Source: RNAcentral
UACAGAGGUCUCAAGCGUUGUUCGGAUUCAUUGGGCGUAAAGCGUGCGCAGGCGGUUCGUUAUGUCCGAUGUGAAAGCCCCGAGCUUAACUUGGGAAUGGCAUUGGAAACUGGCGGGCUGGAGUGCGGCAGAGGGGGGUGGAAUUCCACGUGUAGCAGUGAAAUGCGUAGAGAUGUGGAGGAACACCGAUGGCGAAGGCAGCCCCCUGGGCCGACACUGACGCUCAGGCACGAAAGCGUGGGGAGCAAACAGG